CCCGCUGAACUUAAGCAUAUCAAUAAGCGGAGGAAAAGAAACUAACAAGGAUUCCCCUAGUAACUGCGAGUGAAGCGGGAAAAGCUCAAAUUUUAAAUCUGGUGGCCCCGCCGCCCGAGUUGUAUUCUGGAGAAGCGUCUUCCGCGCCGGACCGUGUACAAGUGCCUUGGAACAGGACGUCACAGAGGGUGAGAAUCCCGUCUUUGACACGGACCCCCGGCGCUCUGCGAUGCGCUCUCGAAGAGUCGAGUUGUUUGGGAAUGCAGCUCAAAACGGGUGGUAAAUUCCAUCUAAAGCUAAAUAUUGGCGAGAGACCGAUAGCGAACAAGUACCGUGAGGGAAAGAUGAAAAGCACUUUGGAAAGAGAGUAAAACAGUACGUGAAAUUGUUGAAAGGGAAACGCUUGAAGUCAGUCGCGUCGGCCGAGACUCAGCCUUGCCUCGGCUUGGUGUAUUUCUUGGCCCGACGGGUCAGCAUCAAUUUUGCCCCUUGGAUAAUGGCUAGGGAAAUGUGACACCUUUAUAGGUGUGUUAUAGUCUCUCGUCGCAUGCAAGGGUCAGGAUUGAGGAACUCAGCAUGCACCUUCGGGUGUCGGGGCUUUUGUCCACGAUACAUGCUUAGGAUGUUGGCGUAAUGGCUUUAAACGACCCGUCUUGAAACACGG
RNAcentral lists this ribosomal RNA (664 nucleotides) under uncultured fungus. Its description in RNAcentral is "eukaryotic LSU rRNA". It matches the Rfam family "Eukaryotic large subunit ribosomal RNA", at positions 24 to 664 of the family's 3401-position model. Lineage: Eukaryota; Fungi. The record is from RNAcentral.